GCGACACCCCUCCGGGGCAAGACUUGCUUCAGUGGGGCUUUGGAGCUCACUGAGUCUGCCCCCUGAGUGUGUCCUU
RNAcentral lists this microRNA precursor (76 nucleotides) under Myotis lucifugus (little brown bat). RNAcentral describes it as "mir-9229 microRNA precursor family". It matches the Rfam family "mir-9229 microRNA precursor family". Lineage: Eukaryota; Metazoa; Chordata; Mammalia; Chiroptera; Vespertilionidae. The record is from Rfam by way of RNAcentral.